CCCAAAAAAAAAAAAAACAGCUUUUCUCUUUCUCUUUAUCUUUAUUCAGUAAUUGUUGGGAUAUCUUUUACUUUUGAUUCUUAAAUUGAUUCCUAACAAAAUUGGAAAUUGGGUUCUUUUUUUUUUUACCUUAUACGACCUAAACGAUAUAAAUCUACUCUCUAUCCCUUUGACUUAAUUCUUAUAUACUUCCUCACAAUUUAUUUUGUUGGUCUCAAAACUUGCAAGACCAUUUUGGGUUCCAGAAAUUCUAGAAAAAAGUGAGAAAUCCUAGAAACUUGGGGAGCAUGAAGUGAUAACUUGUGCAGUGAUAUUCCUCUAGCUUAUCGGCAUGGUUAUUUAGCUUUUAACCAAGUAGUAUGGCAAGAGAUCACACGUAGUGCACAAGAUGAUUGGGUGGUCAAGUUGUAAGGCAAGCGCCCAGUCAUAUAUCUGUUUCAAAAAAAUGUUUUUGAUUGUCAUGAAUAUUUUCAGAGUCUGUAAAAUGGUUUGACAUUCACCCAUAUGUGUACUUUUUUUUUUUGAUAAGCAAGAUAAUUGAAUUUUCUGAUAAAUAAGAAAUCUUUAUAAAUAAUGCAAAAUAAGUAUUUUGUUGAAGAGGAAAAAGGGGGUUACCCCAGUAUAUAAGAAGUACACAAGAGAUUUACAUAACUAGCUAAGGGACAAGAUAGUAGAAGUUCUUGCAAAUAGAAAAAAGAAUGAGCAACACCAUAUUGGGCUAUAUUCCAAUGAUUCAAGGUAUUAAGAAAUCAAGACUUGAGAUAUGUCACCGGCAUGUUGCAAUCAUUGAAGCUAUGCUCAUUUCUCCUUACAAAGGUGACAUAAUAAGCAUGAUGGGCUCAUCCUCUGGAAAGGUGUGCAUUGAUGGUUACCAAACUAUCCUUUCUAAUAUGUUAGGAGGUCCACAUCUCAAUCUAUUCCGAAUCAUAUUUCUUAGAAUUCUAAUAACCUCACCAUGUAAAAGAAGGUGAUCCACCAAUUCCCCACUCUUUCUACCAUGCAAUAUCAAUGUAAUCACUACAAUGCCCUACUUCCUCAUGUUGUCCAAGGUAGGAAUAUUUUUUAAUGCUGCAUUUUCAAUGCCAUUGAAAACCAGAAGUCCAUUUUAAAGAACCGUUUCACAUAUUCAAAUUCUUCAAAGCGGAAAUUUUAGUUAAGAGAAGUGUUAGGUUCACAAGGAGUUCGGAUAUAAGUAUAGUUCACAAAUUGAUGUGGCUAAAUGUGAUGUACUGCAAAUCACAUCAGUUUGUGAGCUAUACUUUUGCGAUAUAUCUUUGUGAACCAAACAUUCUUUUAAGCGAAUGGAAUCACACUAAAUAAUACAAAAGAUAACUAACACAGUGUAAGUGAGAAUUUUUAAAAUUAAUUAUACAUAAAAGAGUAUCCCACAAAUUAAUGAAGUUAAUCGGUUCUAUCUAUAACAUAUUGUAAAGAGAACAAAUAAAAAAAGGACACUGGUUUAGUUGGGUGCUGAGUCCCAUAUUGGCUACUUAUUAGGUGAAACUAUGCUUGAUAAAUGGUUCUUGGGAAGCUUCAGAUUUAUUCUUCUUUUUAGCUCUUUCCCUUGGUUUUUAUAGUGGGUGAUAGAGAAUGCUAUACUAUAUUUACUGAAUGCUAUACUAUAUUUACUCUUAUAAGAUGUCCUUGAUAAGGUGUCUCUAGUUAGGUGUCCCCACUGCCGUUUCCACCAGCUCACUUUCUAGAAUAUUUUGCCACAUUGUAAAUUCUCCUUCUAUAUAUUGAAAUGAAUGGAGUAGGGGCUGGGCAUAUGAAACCAGCUUUUCUUUAACACAUUUCUUGUUUUCCAUCAUUUGGCUAGCAGCCAUCAUGAGGUGACUUCUUUCUUUGGCAAAAAAAUAUUUUUUAAAAUUACUUAUUGUACCGUUCAUAUAAACAUCUAUUUUCACAUCCGACAUAUUCGCAAUGGUCUCACCACUUUUACAAAACUUUAUUAAAAUGCCCUAUCAAAAGUUCCACUACAAUUCAUAGACAUUUGUAUGCUAUUUAUGAACUAUUUAUGAAAACUACCACUAUCCAAACAUCUCCUUACACAUUGGAACACUUUUAAUCAUAACAUUUGAGACCUGACUAGAGCUCAGACUAAGGCAUACUAGUUAGAAAAUGUCCAUCUAACCCCAUAAGGUUGACUUAAGUGUUAAGCGCCUUGGUCUUGGUAGUAUGCUCUCCCUCCUAGUCCAAGGUUUGAAUCCUCCUGGGUGCAAACAAUUGGGCCAUGAGACUGGAGAAAUUUUCCCCUAAAUAUUCAAGGUGCACUUGCAGGAAACUCUUUGCCGAUGGCCUAUGUAUCACCGAAACUAGUCAUGAUUUUGUUCUUAGAUACUUGGUGCCAAUAAAAAAAAAAAAGAAAAAAAAAAGGGUCAUCUCAUGUAAUGUCCUAAUGGAAGGCCCAAACCACGUGGCCUAUAUUCCAAAAGGACUAGCAAUGAUACAAUUGAAGCCCCAUUGGAACCUUAUAAAGACCAAAAACUUUUCAUCCUCAAGCAAUGUGGGAUCUCCCAUAUACCACCUCCCCUUAUUCUCUUACCAUAUGGGGGUAUCACAAUCCCCCCCUUUAAAUUCCAGAUGUCCUCGUCUGGUUUGUCUGUUGUAGGUGGCAUAGUUCAAGUCCUGCAAUUCUAGCUGGGAUAGCCUCUAAUACCAUUUGUAACACCUCAAUGGAAGCCUAAACCACAUGACUUAUACUCCAAAAUGACUGGUCAAUGAUACAAUUAGAGCCCCAUUAGAAUUUUAUAAAGAGCAAUAACUUCUCAUUCCCAAGCAAUAUGGGAUCUCAUACACCACUUACACUUAUCCUUAUCAUAUGGGGUAUCACAAUUUCUCUCCCUUAAAGAAAUCUCGUCCUCAAGAUGUAGUGUGUACUCAAAUCCCUUUGUUAGAAGGUCCUAAAUAUCUCGCUACUCGCCUUUCUUUCCAACUUCCUAAUUCUCUUCAUCGAUGCCACUUUCAGGAAUACUUUAGCAAUUCUAGGGAAAUUGAUGUUCUACUAACCUUAACAAACUUUCUUCUCAAGGGAAACAAUAGAUACACAAGAUUCCAUAAUUAAAACCAAUCUUUAUUAAAAAUACUAAAAAAAUCCAAAUGAGAGCCUACGAAAGCACUUAUUAAAAUCAACCAAGUCUCACGUGCUUAAUAAAUAGCUUAUAAAAAUAAAAUAACUCAUAAAAGAAGCAUGUCAAAAACAGCCAAGGCCUCUGCCUCGUCUCUCUGAUUCAAAUCCUGUCCUGUAGCUCCAUCCUCACAAAGAUCAUCACUUGCUACCAUAUCAUCAGUAGGAAGAGCAAACACUUUAGCUGGUGCUAUAGCCCUCUGCCCACUUCCUUCCGCUAAAACUAAUGCAUUCUUUUUCAGGCAAUCUUGAGCCAUAUGGUUGGGCUCCCCACAUUUGAAGCAAGCAUUUUGGCCUUGCAAAUAGUUUCCUGGAUGCAUCCUUUCUUAUGUCUUGCAAACUGGGUAGUAUUGACUACAGUAAGAUGGCCUUGGACGAUCAUUUGAAGUAGGCUUUUUGUUGUGAUUUGCUCGAGUAACCAAGUAAGUGAAAUUAUAGAUCCUAAGUGGUAUAAGACAACUGCGAAUCCUCAGAUGUAGUCCCCGCUCAAAAUUCAUUGCUUUCCUCGUUUCAUCCAGAAUCAAGUAUCUAGUGAAAUGUGACAGUGCUAUAAAUGUUGCAGCAUAACGCUCUAUAGUCAGAGUUCCGUGUACUAGAUCAAGAAAUUGUCUAGCUUUUGCUUCCCGAAGUGUUUGGAAAAGAAUUAGCCUAAAAAUGUUAGCUUGAAGUGACCCAAGUGAUAGGUACUCCUUUGUCGAGUUCGAGUUGCAGUAAUUCCCGUGUAGAAGAUCACCACUCAUCUGCUUCAUCUACUAGUACAUAGGUAGCAUACUCCACUUUCUGCUCCCCAGUACAGAAGAGAGCCCAAAGAUCUUCUUCAUCCUUUUAAUCCAUCUUUAGCAUCGAGUGCUUCCAAUUUGCCAUCAAAGGUUGGAGGAUGUUGCUGUGUAAACUGAUUUGGAGUGCAACCGACCUUGGGAGUCCUGGCUCCUAUGCUUUAACCGUUGGGAAAAUGCUGGAGAAGUCUAGUAGCAACAGCAACCAAGAUCGCAUGCUCGCUCAGUUGUGGUUCGGUGGACCCUUCAAGAUGCGCAUUGCUUCUAGUAGUUAGUGCCAUUCUAAACUAACAUCACAUAAUAUGGUUUGUGCAAAUAAGCAAAUAAUAACACAAAUACUUCAUCAAUCAUACAGUCAAUCAAGAACAUGGCAAUAAGCAUCAAACAUAAAAGUAAAUAACUUCUCUUGAACUUCAAGCUGGCCAGGAGUCAUAUGACAAGAGGAUAAGGGUAAGUGAUAUAUGAGAUCCUAUCAUUGGGAAUGACAAGAUUUUGCUCUUUAUAAUGUUCCAAUGGGGCUUCUAUUGUAUUAUUGAUAGUCCUUUUGGAGUAUAGGCCAUGUGGUUUGGGUUUUCUAUUGGGGUGUUACAAAUAGUAUAAGAGCCUAUCCCAACCAGAAAUGUGGAAUUUGAGCCGUGUCACCUAUGAAAGACAAACCCGACGAGAACUUCGGGAAUUUAAGGAGGGGAAGAUUGUGAUACCUCAUAUGACAAGGAUAAGAGUAGGUGGUGUAUGAGAUCCCAUGUUGCUUGGGAAUGAGAAUAUCUUGCUCUUUAUAAUGUUCCAAGAUGACUCUAAUUGUAUCAUUGACUUGUCUUUUUGGAGUAUAGGUCAUGUGGUUUGGGCCUUCCAUUGGGGCAUUACAUCUUAGGGUAGAAGGCUUCAAUGAUGUGGAUUGGGCAGGGUGGCAGGUUCACCUUUUUAGGAGUAAACCUCACAACAUGGGAAAGCAAGAAACAAAGUGUAGUUGCUAGUUGAGUGCAGAAGUAGAGUGCAGAUCAAGGGCUUAUAUUGCUAGUGUGUUGACUAUGUUAAAAUAUUUCCUUAAAGUUGGCGUACUAGCAACUACUAACAUUCUGCUAGCUUGUGUUAACCAAGCUGCUAUAUGCAUCGCCUUCAAUCGUGUGUUCUAUGAGAGGACCAAGCAUGUUGAAGUGGACUGACAUUUGGUACGAGACAAGAUACUAAAUGGAAACAUAUCUGCUGUAAAGUAUGGAGACCAACUUGCUGAUAUCUUUGCAAAGUCAUUAUAGAGUUGGUGGUUGUAAUUGAGUUCAAUGGAACGAGUUUCCAUGAAUUUCUUGUAUCACUGAAGUAGCACGCUAGGCGACACUCCUAUAUAUGUCCCAUAUACUUGGGCUUUUGCCCUAUU
This is a long non-coding RNA of Carya illinoinensis, 5275 nucleotides long. RefSeq lists it as uncharacterized. The record is from RefSeq and is a predicted model, not a curated record. The transcript has 2 exons. Lineage: Eukaryota; Viridiplantae; Streptophyta; Magnoliopsida; Fagales; Juglandaceae.